UUUUUUUUAUUGAAAAAUAGCCCUAAUUUGCCCUUUGUGGUCUUUUAUUUGAAACUAACAAAUAUCAAAAUAUCUCAAUUGCUUUCAAAUUUUUGUGUAUCAGUUUGAAUAUUAAUUUAUCUAUCAACGGUCAACGGUCAACGGUCAACUUUGACCGGACUCGGCGAGUGCACUAGAGCCACUCGACGAGUCUAUACGUGUUCACUGACUCCCUAGGAUCCUCUCUUGACACGUCGAGUACUCUCCUAACUCGACGAGUUCCACCUGGCAUGAGUCGCGGGGCCACCACGACUCAACUCGCCGAGUCUCAAGAACAACUCGGCGAGUUCCAGCUUGACUCAGUCCACUCGACAACCCUCUCUGACUCACUGAGUCAACCCCUUAACUCGGCAAGACCACUCGCUGAGUGGUUAAGGACAAUCUUCAUGCUACUCGCCGAGUCUGUUCUUCGGACUCGGCGAGUCUAAGCCAUGCAUGAACUCAAACUCACUCCUGAGGUCAGAUCCGUUCCAGUAACUCAUAGAUCCAGUCCUUCCAAGCACAUUUAUCACGUAAAGUUACAAUCUUGGCUACCAUGCAACGCCUACAAGGCUUCUUUUGGUGAAAUGACAUCUAAAAUGGUAACCUAAGUCCCCAACUCAAAAGGAAAGGCAUAAAGCAGAGCAUUUGGGACUCUCUGGACCUACUAAGGUCCAGAUCUAGGUACCAUUUCCCCAUGGGACCUCUCACACUCCAAUUACAAGGCAAACAAGGCAUGAAGAAACCCUAGAUUUGACCAUAUCAAUAAAAACACGAGAAUAAGCUCUGAAUAUUACCUCAAAUAGCUUCCUCUGCCGAAAUGGAAGUAGAUCCAAGCUCCCCAACUCUCCUAGCUUGGCCUUCCUCUUCCUUUCUUGCAAACACACACAAAGAUGGUGAAUAAUGGCCUCUUAUCUCACUCACAAGGACUCUCAGAUGCUCUGGUGCUCUCAAGGUCGAAGGUAGCCGCAAUGAAGGGUUAUAAGGUCCUUUAAAUAGGGCUCAGACCCGGGAAAUUAGGGUUUCAUUAAACAGCGUGGACUCGCCGAGUCCACUCUUGGACUCGCCGAGUCCGGACGCGAACCCGCGUCCAAAUCCGCGAUCAUACUCGGCGAGUCUAGGCUCCAACUCGCCGAGUCUCCUCACAAAUUACCAAAAAUAAAUAAAUGAAUAAUACCUGGGAAUCCGGGCUGUUACAAUUCUCCCCCACUAGAACUAGACUUCGCCCUCGAAGUCUCGCUCUGCAAAUAACUCUGGAUGCUGCUCACGCAUCUCACGCUCCGGUUCCCAAGUCAUCUCGGACCCCUUCCGAUGCUGCCACUGAACCAAAACCAGGGGUACCUCCUUGUUCCUCAGAACCUUGAUUUUCCGAUCUCUGAUGGCCACUGGUCUCUCGGCAUAAUUCAGGCUCGCAUCCACCUGAAUAUCCUCUAAUGGAACCACUGCCGACUCAUCGGCUAUACACUUCCUCAAUUGCGACACAUGAAAAGUGUCGUGGAUCUGCCCCAACUCUGCUGGCAACUCCAAACGAUAGGCUACCCGGCCUACCCUCGCAAUCACACGAAAUGGCCCAAUAUACCGGGGCCCCAACUUGCCCCUCUUCCUGAAUCGAAUCACUCCUUUCCAAGGAGAGACCUUCAGGAGUACGAAGUCGCCGACCUGAAACUCAAGCUCGGACCGGCGUCUGUCUGCAUAACUCUUCUGACGACUCUGAGCGGUCAACAACCUCUGUCUGACCUGCUGGAUCUGCUCUGUCGUCUGAAGCACGAUCUCUGUACUGCCCAUCACACGCUGUCCAACCUCUCCCCAACAAAUGGGGGUCCGACACCUCCUCCCAUACAACAGCUCAAAGGGCGGCAUACCAAUGCUCGAAUGAUGGCUGUUGUUGUAGGAAAACUCUGCCAAGGGUAAAUACGCAUCCCAGCUACCCCCGAAAUCCAACACACAUGCCCGGAGCAUGUCCUCAAGCGUCUGAAUCGUCCGCUCACUCUGACCGUCUGUCUGGGGAUGAUAUGCGGUACUAAAAUGCAGUCUAGUACCCAACUCCUCAUGAAAUUUCUUCCAGAAUCUGGAAGUGAAACGCACAUCACGGUCUGAAACAAUCGAGAUCGGCACCCCAUGCCGAGAUACCACUUCCCUCACAUACACCUCCGCCAAUUUCUCUGCUGAAGAACUCUCACUGAUAGCAAGGAAGUGAGCGCUCUUCGUCAACCUGUCCACAAUCACCCAAAUUGCAUCAACUCCCCUGGCAGUCCUUGGCAAUUUGGUGAUGAAACCCAUAGUGAUCUGUUCCCACUUCCACUCGGGAACCUCCAAUGGCUGCAACUUGCCAUGCGGUCUCUGGUACUCGGCCUUAACCCUACGGCAGGUCAAGCACCUCUCAACAAACCACGCAACAUCCCUCUUCAUACAGGGACACCAAUACUCCUUCCUCAGGUCCAAAUACAUCUUAGUGGCCCCAGGAUGGAUCGAAAAUUUCGACCGAUGAGCCUCUUCCAUCAAAAUGGUACGCGUUCCUCCCACAAACGGCACCCAGAUACGCCCCUGGAAUGUCAUAAGCCCCCGACCAUCGGUAACGAACUCUGAAAUCAAUCCAAAUGAAGAACUUGAAGAAACGUAAUACGAAACAAAGCACGUCUGGUGGUGAAAGGAUACUGUCAGGAGGAAGGAAUCGACUAUGAGGAAACUUUUGCUCCUGUAGCUAGGCUGGAUUCUGUUAGAAUAUUUCUUGCCUAUGCUGCACACAAAAACUUUGAGGGCUACCAAAUGGAUGUCAAGUGCGCAUUUCUAAAUGAAGAACUUGAAGAAACAGUGUACGUGGAGCAACCUCCUGGAUUCGUAAAUGAAAGGUACCCCAAUCAUUGUUACAUUUUGGACAAAGCCGUAUAUGGACUGAAACAAGCUCCGAGAGCCUGGUAUGAAUAGCUAACCAAGUUUUUAAAGAUGUCCAAAUUCAAACAAGGUUCGGUUGACCCAACCUUCUUUCGUAAGAAGGAAGGUAACCACCUUAUGAUUGUUCAAAUUUAUGUCGAUGAUAUCAUCUUUGGCUCAACGAAUCCUAGCUUAACGGCUGAAUUCAGAAAGCUGAUGGAGACUAAAUUUGAAAUGAGCUCAAUGGGUCCAAUUAACUUUUUCCUUGGUUUAAACAUUAGACAGGGACCCGAAGGCAUCUUUAUUAAUCAGGAAGCUUACACGAAGACUCUCCUUGCAAAAUUUGGCAUGAUGGGAGAUUCAAUGGUUAUCACAUUUAUUCUAAUCAUGAGCUACCUAACUCUCUUCUCACAUGAGAUAAGAGUUUUCUGCUUGGUCCUAUUUUUCACAGCAGAGGUACUUUGAUUUCUUACACCAUCUACGUUACAUUUCUCCAUCACAUUCGUUUCACAAACGUAACCCUUGAGACUCUCAGAAAUUACCACUGAGGUUUAUGGUUACACAAUUACUGUGUUCAUGAUCUUAGUUUCGUGCCACUACGAGCUAAGUGAAACCCACAAUUCAAUACCCAAUACAAAUUGAAGGUGAACAAUUAAUUUGCUCUAGUUUUCACUAUUGAAUUGACGGACGUAUCUUCAUGAAAUCUCAAAAUUUUCUUUUGUGUGAUUCCUAUGAAAUUGUUACAACCAAUAACAUUUCUUCCCUUGGGAUCCAGUUUUAAUUUUUUUUGAGAUUUUAUAUUCCUAGCCAAUUUAAAUUAUUCCGAACCUACUUGUUCAACAGACUACACCGGUCUCACAAGUACUUCGUUCACUUUCUAUCUUAUAUCAAGAUUAGGAAUGUUGAAUCGAAGCGAAAGCCACCCUACUAAGCCUAAUUAAAAGAAGCCUUUCAAUACUUCUUAAUAAGUGUUUGAUCGUUAUUCAAAGGGAAACCACAUAAACACUUUAAGGUCUCUCUUAACUUUGAAGAAAGAGAUUCGUGCCCGGGAUCAUUAAUUUCGUGCCUUUAUUGACAUCACAUUUUUCCCUAAAAGUAUUGCUUUAUUUUUUUUCUUUUACACCCUUAGCACGAAAAUCUUUGCUUUUCCAAAAUCCAGGUUCUAUUAAUUACAGGCAUUUUCAUUGGAUUAAUGGUUGAUUAAAGGCUGUGGUUGAUUUUAAUCCACGUGGGAGUAUUCUUCAAAAGAUGUCGUUACAAUUUAAAGGGAUAAGGUGACGACUUGCUGACUCAGGCGGGAGUCUAAUCGAUUUGAUUUCAAACGGCGCAAAAAGGGAAAGCAUGCGAAUCGGAACCGUCUCAUCUCCAAAUGGCGCAGAGGGGCGCAUGUGAAUUUGAACCGGUUCAUAUCCAAACGGCACAUGAUGGGAGGCGUGUUCUUAGGGGUCUGUCAUUCUAUCUCACGCGUGAUCAUCGGCAACCCCAACUGUCACGCAUCAGUCAACUCCGAAAAACCCUUUGAUUUUCAAUCGAAGAUUUGGGAAGAUCUUUCUCUCUCCUAAAACCCCAGUAUAAAAGGCAACAUAAUCCUUUAUUUACCUCUUUACCAUAAUUAAAAUUCCCAGAGAGCAAAAAUUCCUUCAUACUUCCCUGUUCAUCAUCUUCUCCACUGUCUUCAAGCAAUGACAGAUUCAUCUUCUGUUCACACAACAUCCCACAUACUGCCCAUUCGCCCACAACAAAGCCUCAUCAUUGAUUUAACCCCUCAUGCUUACGAUGCCUUCAUGUUCCCCAUUAUCGAGUGCUUGAAGUUUUCUCCGAUCGCUCCUGCACUUACAAGAGCUGAAUCUGUUCCGAUGGAGUUCUUGUCGCAAAUCUUUGCGACUGCUCAUUAUGACAAGGUCGUUGACAGAAUCUUCUUUGAUGUUUUUCAGCACAAGGCAUCAAUUUCAAAGCAAAGGUUUUGCUCGCUGUUAGGGUUUGAACCUGAUUCUACGAGGGUUAACCCUGAAACGAUUCCAAUGGGGCACUUGUUCAACAUGUUUUAUAACAUGGGUUAUACGGAGGUGCUUACUACAGUCACGAAGUUCAAGAAGUCGUGCCUACCUCCACAGUGGAACGGGAUGUUCACUAUUCUAUUCAAAGGGUUAUCUGAAAGAAGUGCUGGAUCUGAUGGUGCCAGUCGGUUAUUUCUGUUAAUAAUGUGUGGUAUCUACAAUGGCAUAAACGUAGAUUAUGAGUCUGUUCUAUGGCAACAACUUAUCCAGAGUCUCUCCUCUACCUCCAGACAUUCAGAGAUUUCAUACGCUAGGUUCUGGACUCUGAUCACGAAAUGGGUGAUGGACAAGUACCACGUCCCCAUUGUCGCUGGUGCUCCAAUGUCUUCGAUUGGUACAUUCCAUACCAUGAAGAUCAUUGUCUCGGACGCUUCCAAGUUUCCGUUCAACGGUUCCAUUCCGGAAACUAUGUAUGGCGAUGUUCCUGCUAAUAGUCGGAUUAUCAGGACAUACAAAGAAUUCAAGCGUUCUGGUCUGAGGGAUUUCACUCCGGAGAUGUUGAAGUCCAUUCAUGACGCCGACAAGCCUGCUCCAAGAGGCAAGAAGGCUGAUAAGGGGAAACAGGUGGCAAAAGGAGCUAAAGGCCCAUCUCCAAAGAAGAGGAAACCAACCAAGGCUGCUCAGUCUCCGCAGCAAAAGCGACGAAAAACUCAGCCGAAGCGAAAGUUGAUCAUCGCUUCCUCCUCAAGCGAGUCUGAGGGUGAGAGUUCGGAUUCUGACGACUCUCCACGAGGCAACACUCCACCCAGAUCUCCUACCCCAGAAGUUCAUGCCUCUACUUCUCCAAUUCUCUCUCCACCUAAAACCAUUCCUUUUUCUAUUCCCCCCAUAACUUCCACUACUUCAAUACCACCCACUUCAAUCCCAAUACCACCACCAAUAUUCACCGACGCAACCACAACAUCCACUGCAAAUGUUAGAUCCAACGUAUCUGAUACGAGGGUUCAUACUGAUGCACCCAAAACCACUCAAGCACCCGAAACCACAAAAGCACCCGAACCUACCCCCACCCCAACACCCGAAACAACCCAACCCGAACCUACCCAUACUACUGCACCACCAGCUUCACCACCACCACCUUCUCCUGGUCAUGCUUCAGAGGGAGAAGAACCACUCCUUGGCGGGGAGGAUAUGACGUUUGACUCGGUCUACUAUAGUCCGUUUCAAGUACAGAGUGAUGACGAUGACGACGCUCCUGUCACAAAAAGACAUCUCAAGGAGCUCCAUGACAAGAUUGACUUGCUCAUCGCCUCCUCUUCCACUUCUCAGUCAUCCCUUUCUGAAGAUGCAGUUCAGAAGAUUGUUGACGCCUUCUCUAAAGCUCAGCAAGAUUCCAUUGCUUCUGCAACCUCCGCCAUAGAUGCCUCAACAAAAGCCUGUCAGGCUGCGACCGAAAAAGUCGAUAAACUAUUUUCUGAUGCCUCUUCCCUGUUAAAGUCUUUACAGGAGAGUGCAAAUGCUGCCAAGACUACGUUGGAACCAAUUGUUCACCAGCUAGCAACGUCAGUCUCCACUGAGUUGAAGUCCUUCGCUUCUUUUCGUCAAAUGCUUUCAGACGACAACUCAGCCUUUCGCACAACCAUUGACGAGCGUCUCUCGAAGCUACAAGAAGAUUUGGCUGCCGAGAACUCUCUUAUGGAUGUUCUUGCCAAGAAGACCACUGCUCUGAAGGUCAAGAGCGUUCAACUCUCCCACUCUCAACAGGAGAUUGACUCUCUUCGGUCCGAAAGGGAGGUGAUAAAGUCGUGUGUUUCGGAUGUCCACUCUGCCAUCUCCAACAUCCUCGAAGCACAUGAUCCUAUUCUUAACUAUACUGUGAGGCGUGACCUUGCAGAGAAGCUCGCUCCCGCCCUUGCCCUGCUCAGCAAACUCGAAGGGCUACUUGAUUUCGUGUCCAUUCCGAAACAAGGGGGAGAGAAGGAAUCUAUGUCCCAACCACCUCCUACCUCAAAGGCAACUCACACUACCGAACCUCCUCCAGUAGGCCAAGCCUCCGGUUCUGGUGUGAAAGAUAAAGGCAAGAAGAUUGCUGAGGAGGACGAAGAUGAAGACCAAGAGACUAUCGCUAAUUUGUUAAAGCGAAAAAGUCGAAAUGAUGAUGCUGAUAUCAGUGCUCGUGUGGCUAGAGAAGCUGAAGAAGCAGAAAGAAAACAGAAGGAAGCCCACAACCUUCUUGAGAGUAGGAAAACUCUUUUUCCUGCCUGGACUCUCGAGAGGAUGAUAAAAGAAGCCAUUGACACUCCGAGUAUCUUGUGGCUGGAACCUGUAAUCUCACUUGAUUGUUCCAACACUGUCGACUCUUAAUUCGACAUGCCUCUGACCCGAAAGGCGUUCAUCUUUCACGCCUUCUCCAACGUUUCAGAGUUCCCUCAUCCUCAUCCACAGGUUGAUCGGGACUUGAUCAAUUUUUAGCUGAAGGCUGCUCAACCUCAAUAUCAGACUUGGAGCGCUCAGAAAAUUGUAAACGUUCGGGUCUUGAAGGCGUACAGUGAAGGGAACUUCAUCAACAUUUGGUUCAAGAUACUUCGGGGAUCUGCCAAAACCGAACAUGCCAUUUCUCUUGCAGAUCUUCCGAACCUUAAUCCCCAUGAUUGGAUAAUCUUGCACAAUAUCCUUCUAACCAAUGAAGCUGAAUACGGUCCAAUUAUUGACCAUUUCAAGAGGAUGCUCAUGUGCUACAUCAUGGAAGUUGUGCUGAUGUAUCAGGAGAUAGCGAGCGUAUUUAAGAAGAAACCAACAAUAUCUCCUGUUGGCUCAGCCAGUGAUCUCAACCAAAUGCAGAUGGGGAAAAUUGACUUGAGAAGGAAUUCGGUCAUGUUCACCAGGAACGAAUGACAGAAAUGUCUUUUUGCCUUGGCUGACAAACAUCUAUACACUACUACUUGCUUAGAGCAUGUUUUGGGGAUCAUCCACAGAUGCAAGCAAAACACAGCGGAUGAUGUCAAGUACUUCGAUGACAUGAUACAUUGGUACGUUUGGUUCAGACAGACGAUUCUUGCGCUAAUCUCUCGUCUGUUUGAUACCACGAAGAAAGUUCCCGCUGCUAGCCCAAGCAAGAAGAAGAAGUAGUCUCGCUCCAAUUUGACGCAAAGUGGGAGAUUGUUGGGUCGUGUUUUGUAUGUUGCGUCUAUUGGGCUCGUUAGUUAGUCCGUUUUUGUAUCUCCGGUAUGGGCCUGUCCAUCCGUGAGUAUAGUAGGGUUUAUUAUAAAUAUAGGUGCUUGCAUGCAUCUUAGAGAUACGAUAGUAACGAUAGAACAGAUUGAUCAGAGCAUUAUUCAGAAGUUUAUUAUCGUUCUUGUAACCCUAAAUCCUCUACAUCGGAAGUUCUUAGUCGAGCUCUGCUGAGGAUUAUUUGAUCUAAUCAUUCGACAUAUUUUGAUCCAUUCUUGUCGUAUUAAUUGCUUUGUGUUCAUCGUAAUACCUGUUACAAAGAUCUAAUCGAUCUUCAAGUUUGUUUUAUAACUUAUCAAGAAGUGAUGAAAGGCAUCUUUUAAUGAGGCUUAGAGGGGUGGCUUUCGCUUCAGUUCAGAAUUUCAGAUCUUGACAUAAGAUAGAAACCGAAUGAAGUACUUGUGAGACCAAUGAGGGCUGUUGAACAAGUAGGUUUGGACGGUACUUUAGUGACUUGUUGGAAAUGCUUGGUGUGCAAUCUCAAGAAAAUUUAAAACUGGAUUCUAAGGGAAGAAAUGUUAUGGUAUGUAACAAUUUCAUAAGAAUCACACAAAAAGAAAAAUAAAGAUUUCAUGGUACAACCACUUGGGUGGAUUCGUUAAUUCAUGAGUGAAAGUUAGAGCAAAUUUAAUUGUUCACCAUUAAUGCAUAGUGGGUAUUGAAUUGUGGGUUUCCCUUAGCACGUUGUGACACGAAGUUAAGAUCACAAACACAGAGAUUGUGUAACCAUAAACCUCAGUGGUAAUUUCUGAGAGUCUCAAGGGUUAUAUGUGUGAAGCGAAUAUGAUAGAGAAAAAUGUUUGAGGUGGUGUAAGGAAACCAAAGUACCUCUGCUAUUAAAAUAGUGACCAAGCAGAAAACUCUUAACUCAUAUGAGAAAAUAGUAAGGUAGCUCAUGAUUAGAAUAAAUAUGGCAGCCUAAUUGGGAAGACAAGGUUCGUAUAUACCCAAUCAAUAAGGCUCUAUUCAAAAUCAGUUGAGGCUUUGGACAACAUGCAGUAGCAUGCUUCUAAGGACACUUAGCAAGUAUAAAGUGUGUGAAUGAUACCUGCCCCAUCGAUAUACCAGAAACUGUUAACAUAAACAGAAGUAGAGACAAAAGAAAGAAAAUAUUUUUGAAAUUUUCGAUAUUUUUGAAAAGAGAAAAACAAAACAAACCAAUUUUUUUUUGAACCGAACCAGAAAUGGACCGAACGCUCGGUUCAUUUCGGUUCCUUAAAAAAUAUAUUUUUGGAAUUUUGAAUUUUAGAAAACAAUUGUACAAAAGUAUACAACCAAAGACAUCACCUUUUGAGAUAAGCGAAAACAAGUGUAGUGGGACCGAACCCGAAAUAGACCGAGAGUUUGGUUCAUUUUGGUUCUCGUGUGAACCGAGCCCGAAAUAGACCGAACGUUCGGUUCAUUUCGCUUCCAACUUUUAGUUUUGAGAAGGUGUUUUUGGUACUGACUCCAAUUCCAUCAUACCUAAGCCUUGUAGGAUUUUAUUAAAACUUGCUUCAGGAAGGGCUUUGGUGAAGAUGUUGGCCAACUGAUAAUUGGUUUGAACAAAGUGAAUUUCUACGUUUCCAUCUUCCACAUGAUCCUUAAUAAAGUGAUACCUCAGUGCUAUAUGCUUGGUCUUGGAAUGUUGCACUGGGUUAUGACAAAUCCUAAUUGCACUUUCUGAGUCGCAAUAUGGUGGGAUCAUUUUCAUAUUGAGUCCAUAAUCCCGAAGUUGGCUUUGGAUCCAAAUCACUUGAGAUGUGCAAGAGGCAGCUGCAAUGUACUCUGCUUCGGCUGUAGACAGAGAAACACAUGUUUGUUUCUUAGAUUUCCAGCUCACUAACUUCCCGUCGAGGAAUUGACAUCCUCCUGUAGUGAUUUUUCGUUCUAGACCACAUCCUCCUAGGUCUGCAUCUGAGUAGGCUUGAACGAAGAAACCUGAGUUUGAGGGAUACCAGAGACCGAGAGAGGUGGGUCGCUUCAAAUACCAGAAUAUAUUCUUACUGCCAACAUGUGUGGUUCACGAGGAGUUGCUUGAAACCUGGCACAAUAGCACACUGAAAACAUUAUAUCGGGCCUGCUAGCUGUGAGGUACAUCAGGGAACCAAUCAUUUGGUGAUAAAGUGUUAUGUCGACAGCCGGUUUUUCCAAAGAUGGUGUGAGCUUGGUGCCGAACGCCAUAGGGACUUUGACAUUGGAGUCUCCCGUCAUGCCAAAUUUAGCAAGGAGAGUCUUUGUAUAUGCUUCCUGGUUGAUAAAGAUGCCAUCGGGUCCCUGUCUAAUAUUUAAACCAAGGAAAAAGUUAAUCGGACCCAUUGAGCUCAUUUCAAAUUUAGUCUCCAUCAACUUUAUGAAUUCAUCUGUUAGGCUAGGAUUUGUUGAGCCAAAGAUGAUAUCAUCGACAUAGAUUUGAACGAUCUUAAGGUGGUUACCUUCCUUUUUACGAAAGAAGGUUGGGUCAACCGAACCUUGUUUGAAUUUAGACAUCUUUAAAAACUUAGUUAAUGUUUCAUACCAUGCCCUAGGUGCUUGUUUCAGACCAUAAACAACCUUAUCUAAGAUGUAGCAGUGAUCUGGAUGCUUUUCAUUUACAAAACAAGGAGGUUGCUCCACGCACACAGUUUCUUCAAGUUCGCCAUUCAGAAACGCACACUUCACAUCCAUCUGGUAAACCUCAAAAAAAAUUUGUGCAGCAUAGGCAAGAAAUAUUUGAACGGAUUCCAGCCUUGCUACCGGAGCGAAUGUCUCUUCAUAAUCGAUUCCUUCUUCCUGGAAAUAUCCUUUCACCACUAGCCAAGCCUUAAUCCGGAUUACAUUUCCCUCCUUGUCCAUUUUGUUUCUGAACACCCAUUUGAGACCGACAACUGAGGCAUCUUUUGGUGUUGGAAUGAGUCUCCAGACCGUAUUUCUUUCAAACUCAUUAAGUUCGUCUUGCAUUUCCUGAACCCAAUCAGAAUGAUCGAGAGCAAUAUUGACGGUCUUCGGCUCUAUUUUGGAGAUGAAAGAAUUAUACAUGCAGAAUUCUACUUUGGAGAAUAAAGCAAUUUGCUUCGCCUUCAGUUGUGAUCGAGUUAGAACCUUUUAUAAUGCAUCACCCACUAUUUGAGAUACAAGAUGAUCUCUGGUCCAUUUGGUGAGAGCAGGAUAAUUUGGAUCAUAGGAUGGAUCCAAUUCAGCAUUUACCAUUUCAUCCAACUCUGAUUGAAUAUCAUCAUCAUAGAGCAUAUUCGAGUUCUCCCCCUCGACAGAUGAUGAACCAUUUGGAUGUGAACCAAAAAAUCUUUCUUCGACUGGGCUUUCGGGUUGAUCUGGACUUUCGGUUGCUACAGGACUUUCGGGUGCAACUUGGCUUUCGGGUGCUUCAGAACUUUCGAGUACAACUUGGCUUUCGGGUGCUACAGGACUUUCGGGUCCAUCAAAGAUUGGAUUCUCCCCCUGGAUAUGUGAGUCCUGUUGAUUUGAAGAAAAUUGAUUCUCCCUCUCGACCGAAGUACCGCUCUGGGGAGGUUCGUUUCGAACUGGUUCUUCUUCUCCCAUUUGGUUGGUUGUAUCUUCAACAAUCUUUUUAAGGUGAUCAAUCUUGUUGUCUGCUUUCGUGGCUUCAGAAUGAGUGGCUUUCUCAGGUUCAUCAAAUAAAUCCAUGAACUGGUCAAAGAAAUUGGCGAUUGAGGCUGUGAAUUGACCUGUUUGAGAGAAAAUAUCUCCAAUUGCUUCUUCGGUAGACUUCAACUUCUUGAUGUAUUAUUAUCGAAAGUAACAUAAUAGGUUUCUUCAAUUCUUUUAGAACGCUUAUUCAAAACCCUAUAUGCCUUUGAAGUAAGAGAAUAUCCCAUAAAGAUACCUUCAUCAGCUUUGACAUCAAACUUGUUGCGAUGUUCUUUGGAAUUGAAGAUGAAGCACCUUGAACUGAACACGUGAAAGAACCUGACAUUCGGCUUCCUAUUGUUAAUAAUCUCAUAAGGGGUGAGAGAGAAGCUCUUGUUGAGAUAAGAUCUAUUUUGAGUGAAACAAGCUGCAACAAUGGCAUCCGGCCAGAAAUAUAGAGGAAGUGAGGCAAAACUCAGCAUGGUUCUAGCCGCCUCACAUAGGGAUCGGUUUCGCCUUUCGACAAUUCCGUUUUGUUGAGGUGUAUAGGGGGCUGAGAAAUUGUGACGGGUGCCUUUUUCUGCUAAGAAAUCUUUGAAUUCUUUGUUCUUGAAUUCCAGUCCAUUGUCGCUCCUAACGUUUUGAACGACUUUUCUCAGUUGCAAUUCAAUUUACUUGAUAAACAUCUUUAACUUAGGAGUGGCCUCAGAUUUGUGUUUCAGAAAGAAUACCCAUGUCAAACGUGAGAAUUCAUCAACAACAAAAAGAAUGUACUUGCUACCGCCAAUGCUCUCGAUUGAUGAUGGACCACACAAGUCGAUGUGAAGCAACUCAAGUGCUUCAACAAAUUUGGUGUUUAUGAUUGUUGGGUGACUUUGGCGACUUUGUUUCCCCAUUUCACAUGUAGCACAUUAGUGUUCUCGAUCGAACUUAAGCAGUGGAAGUCCCCGAACAUGACCACCGGUGACUAGCUUGUUGAUGUCUUUGAAGUUGAGAUGUGAGAGCCUUCGGUGCCACAACCAACUUUCGUCUGAAUGGGCUUUGGACAAAAGACAUAUGGUUGGAUUCCCUUUGAUUGGUCUGAGAUUCAGAGAGAACAUUUCACCUUUUCGUUCAGACUUGAGAAUAACUUUGUUGGAUUUCUUCUCUAUUAUCUCUAAACCUUCAUCAUCGAACGAGACUUUGAGACUUGUACCUCCCACCAAUUGAAAUGCACUGAUGAGGUUAUGCUGCAAUCCCUCUACAUUAAGGUGCGAAGGGAAUGUAAAAACAACAAUAGUUCCACAUUAAGGUCCUUAUAUGGAAUGUCAGAAAGAUCGGUAAAGUCGAGAAGCAUAGAGAGGCCUUUUAGAGCACAAGAGGCAGAUUUUAUUGGCUUGGUGGAAAGCAAAGUGAGNUUGGUGCUUUUCAAAGAAAAAAGGAAAAAGCAGCCCGCUGAAUUAGGACCUUGGAUUAUUCUGAUUGGAUCUCUAACCGUGUCCGUACCGAAAAAGGAUGGGAAGGACUUUUUCCGGUGUAGAUUUUAUCAACUCGGUAAGGCGAAGAACAACCAAAAAUUCCCGAUAAAAUGAAAUAUUUCGAUUGAUUAAUUAAAUCGCUGAUUGUAAAGUCUCCAUUGGUUAUCAUCCCAUAACCCUUUAUCGUUCCAUAAGAGUUGUUACCAUACUUGACACUGCCACCGUUUUGAAGUGAUCGAAACUCCCUUAGCUCUUCCUUCCUUCCUGUCAUGUGACCUCAGCUGCCACUGUCUAUGUACCAUUCUUCGUCAAACUGCUCGUCACUUAUAACCUGCAAAAAUUAAGCAGAUUUAGGAACCCAAAGUUUCUUGGGUCCUCGUGAGCCUUUUACAGAAACAGGAAUAGUAAGAGAAACAUCAACAAGAUAUGUUCGUUUUAUUAAGGUUGUUUCAUCUUUCCUCUUAAUAGUAAACACUUUGAUUUUAUUGGAGUUUGAUGCAGUUAUUUCGGAUUCAGGUUUGGGAGUUUGGACUUUAGCUUGCUUUCGGUCUUCAUCUGCUGAGGAAAUCUUCCUUUUUCCUUUUAAAUCCUUCGUCGAUUGUGAGCUUGGUGUAGGACGAGAAUUAGGCUUAGAAGAAGAAUGAGAACGAGAAGAAUUAGAGGAAUAGAAGUUAGAAUGAGAAUCUUUCCUGACUUGAGGUUCGAAAUGACCCUUUCGGUUGGGACCAUUUGAGGGACCGAACCUGGACCUUCGGUUGCUAUUUGUUGAUGGACCGAAACUGGCUUUUCGGUUGUUGUGGGUUGCUGGACCGAAACUGGGUCUUCUGCUGUAAAAGCUUGAUGGACUGAACUCUGGUCUUUGUCUGUUGUUGUUUGGUGGACCGAAACCAGGCUUUCGGUUGUUGUUACUUUCGGGACCGAACCUAUCCUUCCGAUUUUGUUCUUCCUGUGGCCCGAAAGUCUUCUUCUAGUUCUUUUGAUCCAAUGGACUGAAGCUCCUUUUACUCUUAUUUUCUUCUCCUUUUGGCUUGGAGUUUCUAUCAAAGUGAGUAUAGUGAGGAUUUUGGGAGCGCCAAAAUUACUUUUGCUCUGAGAGAUUUUUCUUGUAUCUCAGAUUUCUCUGUUGCUUUUGAUUUUUCACUUGUUUCGGUUGUCUGUGAAUAUUUGCCUUCUGUUUCGGCUUCUGAGCAACAGGUUCACUUUUCAUGGAAGAGGUUUCGCUUGUUGAGGAGACAUAUUCCUCUGGAACCUCUUUUGUGCCACUGGAACUGGGCACGUCAAAGUUGGUAGGUUUAUUUAGUGGUUCUGCCACAUAUGUACCUUUGGCCUUCCAAGAUGUGCGCUCCGACAAACCAACCGUUUCAUCUGCGUUGUCUAUCGGUGCAGACAUGAAAAACUCAUCACUACCAUCUGCAUUAUCUUCGUUCACCAAUGCAGUGAGUUCGGCUCUCUAAUGUUCGGUUACUCCUGUGACCUUAUAAACCUGAUUGGGAGUGGUUCUAACUUUUUGGUAUACAACGGCCUUUUCAUUAAGGAUUGGGGACUUAUUUUUGGACAGACGAGCGAAUUCCACAGAAUNGACGAGCGAAUCCACAGAAUUUUCAGAAAUCAAGUUUUUGUGGUUUUCAGGUUCGCUCCUAAUUAACUCUGAACAGUCAACCUCAUCCUUUACAGAGAUUUCACUCAUGUCAUCGUCCUCAUUAAGUUCAGAUGCAUUUUCAACAUGAAUUUUAUUUUCUGAACAUAAUUUGGUACUCAAUGAGUCAAAUUUUUGUAUAGUUUCGGGUCUGAGUUUCAACUUAUCAUUUUCAUCCAAAAGAUUUUUAAGCAUGUCCUUAUGGUCUUUGGACUUUAUAAAAGAUUCAAUUUUUUCAAGACCAUACAUAUAAGUGGGAUUUACAUCAUCUGAAGAUACAACACUUUCACAGUUGUAUGCUUCGGCAUCGAUUGCAUCCUCCUUUAACUCAAGGAAGGGAAAAAUCAUGCGAUGUAUCUUCUGGCCUAUUUCACAGUCUAAAUGCAGCUGAGUAUUGUUAGUAUAAAGUCUUUUUGCAAUUAAACAAAAAUCAUUCCUCUGUUUUAACAAUUUAAGAUUGUCUCUCUGCAAAUAGAUAUUUCAUCCCUAGAUUUAACCAGCUCCAACUCCUUCUGCUUGUAACACCAUAAAUUUCAAAACAAUUUUUCGCAUUUUAUAAAACACAAAUCAUUUAGCAUUCAUAAAACAUUAAUGUUUGAAACUCAAUCCAUGCUAUAUAAAAUUCCCAUGAUCUGAUAACAUAAAAAUCCCGUGUGUGUGUACUGAUCAAGCCAGUACCUUCCCCCGGUCAUCACUAGUACUUGAAACAAAUGACACCAACACUGUAAGCACAAAGCUUAGUGAGUUCCCCAAAAUACCACGCAUAACACAUAUUAGCCACUCACGGCUAUAACUCUGUGGGUCCGUGGACCCUACUCUGUGAACCCUCUGGUUCUAACUCUGUGAACCUUCCGGUUCCAACUCUAUAACAUGCACAACAUAAAUCACAUAGAAAAUGAAGUACAACACAUAACAUACAUAUAGCAUACAAAUACUCUGUCACAUAACUCUGAUUACCUACUCAAGGUAAAGUAUAGUGAGAAGACUCACCUCGCGUAUCUCGAUAACUCGCAAAUCCCGGAAAUCACUCGCGCUCGAUCCCCCGAGCUAUAAUCCUCCUAUAACACAAUAUAUCUCUAAUUAACACUUUCACAACUAAGGUUGACUACCCCUAUCAAGUCAACACUGGUCAACUCUGGUCAACGGUCAACGGUCAACUUUGACCGGACUCGGCGAGUGCACUAGAGCGACUCGGCGAGUCUAUACGUGUUCACUGACUCCCUAGGAUCCUCUCUUGACACGUCGAGUACUUCCCUGACUCGACGAGUUCCACCUGGCAUGAAUCGCGGGGCCACCACGACUCAACUCGCCGAGUCUCAAGAACAACUCGGCGAGUUCCAGCUUGACUCAGUCCACCCGUCAACCCUCUCUGACUCUCCCUGACUCACUGAGUCAACCCCUUAACUCGGCAAGACCACUCGCUGAGUGGUUAUGGACAAUCUUCAUGCUACUCGCCGAGUCUGUUCUUCGGACUUGGCGAGUCUAUGACAUGCAUGAACUCAAACUCACUCCGGAGGUCAGAUCCGUUCCAAUAACUCAUAGAUCCAGUCCUUCCAAGCACAUACAUCACGUAAAGUUACAAUCUUGGUGCUCAUGCAAAGGUCCAAAGGCCUUAUUUGAUGAUAUGGUCUCUAGAAUGUUAUUCUAAGCUCAUGGCCUCCAUUAACACUCAUAAAGCUUGAGGGAAAAGAGUCUCUGGACCUCUUUGGGUCCAGAUCUAAAGCACCAACACAAGAAGAGGCCAAUUACUCCAUGGAUCAUUCCACAAAGAAACCCUAACUCUAAGAUUUACACCAAGGACUGAAAAAGGAACGAACGGUUACCUCAAAUGAAGUCUCUGAGAUCAGGAAUCACUGGAUUAGCACCUUCUUUGGUCUCCUCUUGCCUUGAUGCUCUUCUAUAAGCAAAAACACCCAUAAAUAGUCAAGGAUCUUCCUCUUCUCUCCAACAAAACGCU
This 16734-nucleotide long non-coding RNA is filed under the name Lactuca sativa (garden lettuce). RNAcentral describes it as "long non-coding RNA (LSAT_LNC001224)". Lineage: Eukaryota; Viridiplantae; Streptophyta; Magnoliopsida; Asterales; Asteraceae. The record is from RNAcentral.